GAUGAAGAACGCAGCGAAAUGCUAUAAGUAAUGUGAAUUGCAGAAUUCAGUGAAUCAUCGAAUCUUUGAACGCACAUUGCGCCCCCUGGUAUUCCGGGGGGCAUGCCUGUUCGAGCGUCAUUUCACCACUCAAGCCUCGCUUGGUAUUGGGCAACGCGGUCCGCCGCGUGCCUCAAAUCGACCGGCUGGGUCUUCUGUCCCCUAAGCGUUGUGGAAACUAUUCGCUAAAGGGUGUUCGGGAGGCUACGCCGUAAAACAACCCCAUUUCUAAGGUUGACCUCGGAUCAGGUAGGGAUACCCGCUGAACUUAAGCAUAUCAAUAAGCGGAGGA
RNAcentral lists this unclassified non-coding RNA (331 nucleotides) under soil metagenome. RNAcentral's name for it is "partial contains 5.8S ribosomal RNA, internal transcribed spacer 2, and large subunit ribosomal RNA". The stretch from base 1 to 120 matches the Rfam family "5.8S ribosomal RNA", at positions 35 to 154 of the family's 154-position model. The record is from RNAcentral.